Rhineura floridana is the source of this 1448-nucleotide RNA transcript. It is a transcript of the gene named membrane-spanning 4-domains subfamily A member 15-like, with no coding region annotated. The record is from RefSeq and is a predicted model, not a curated record. The transcript has 7 exons. Lineage: Eukaryota; Metazoa; Chordata; Lepidosauria; Squamata; Rhineuridae.
AGAAAAAAACACAGGAUAUCUCAUUUUUCCUGGCAGCGCCACGUGCCCCUCCAAGACCACUGAAACGCCUGCAAAAUAACCCCCAAGGGGGGGUUUUUAACCCUUGCUUAACCUCAAGCGUCCACGCAGGUCGCCAAUGAUGUUGUAGCAGCUGGACUGAUAUUUCUGUUCUUGCCGUGAGAUCGCAAUGCUGCCGGGGAGCGGGAUCUGCCGUUUAAUAUUCUUUUUCUGCCUCCUCUCUCCCGUUAAGGAAGGGAACAAUACCGAAGUUGCAACACUGGAGCAGCAGCGCCGCCGCCGCCCCUGUCCGAGCGGGAAGACCCAACCUAGACGGACAGGGAAGCUUUCUCCAGCCUGACGCGACUCGCUCUUGGGCGACGGGGGAGCAGAUCGUCCAGCCCCCUUUCUCUCAGUGCUGAGGUUUCGAUCGCCUGUUAGUAGAAGGAUCUGGGUCGGAGGAAGCCAGCGACCUUCCGCGGUGGAUUUCUGGCCAGGCGGCUACUGCGCUGCAGAGUAUGUGGUGGCCGGAAAAGUUUUGGCUGGCGCUGUUGCUCCAAGCAGCAGUGCUCGCCGGUGUUGUGCCUGAUUCUGGACUCCUACUCAGUCUUGCAUUCCAAAGCCUUCUAGAUAGCCAUGAUGGGACGAGGGGACUCUGGAGCGCUCGAGGCCCUCUCAGGGGACACAAUGAGCCCUCUCAUGCCCAAAUCACUGAGGACCUUUUAUAGGAGUGAGCCACUGGCCCUGGGGAUCACCCAGAUAUUCAUAGGAUUGGCGGGAAUAGCUAUUGGCAUUUUUAUAGACUUGCCAUCAGAUGUACAGCUUUUUCGUGUUCACUUUGAAGCCCCAAUCUGGACCGGAAUCCUGUACGUCAUUUCUGGAUCCCUGUCUGUGGCUGCUGCCAAGAACCCCAAGAUGCCAUUGGCAGCAUUCGUGUGGUUCCCAGGCGGUCCCCCAUCCAGGGCCUGAUCAGACCCAGGCCUGCUUAGCUUCAGCAAGAUGGCGGCCUUGUGUGCCUUCAGACCAUCCCCUGGGAUCAAGGAGUCUCAAUGAUGACAGUCCUGCUGGGGAUGAAUGCAGUAAGCGCUGUGACAGUUGGUUUUCGGAUCCUCUUCUCAUUGCAGCAAUUAAAUCAUGUGAUGUUUAUAAGCUGUUUUCACUGUGACUACAGUUAUGGAGAAGAUGACUGCAGCAGAGCUUUGUGGUGCUCAUUUACCAUGGUGAUUUAUCAGAGCUCAGGCCCAACAAGCCCAUCUGCUUGCCAGCCCCUGAAAAAGGAAAACGAGAUCCCGUAAAAUUGCUGUCUCAUAUGUGCACCUAAUCUAUUCCACCACCUCUCACUUUCCAGAGUCGUUUGGGAACUCCUGACUCCUCCACUGUGUGCACUUAUAUAUAUAUAUAUCUUUGGCCUUGUGUUUUGCUGUUUCCUUCAAAUAAACUGGCCGAUAAUU